GUUUGCACUACGUCAUCAGUUGGUUGGCUGGCCUUGUAUCUAGGAGGCGUUGAUCGGACAGCCUCUCAUUGCAGGAGCUGGAAUUCGCGUAUAAUUGGUGGCGGAAGCUUGCGUUGCCCCCCGAGGAUUAUGGAGAGAUAUUUCAUUGGCCCGAGCCGUUAUUGCUUCUGUGGUGUCGGGCUGAUUAUCUUCCGUGAUGUCGCCCGGAAGAGAUACUCUGGGUUUCUCAAUUUUGGACGUUGGAGAUGGUGGACGAGCAACCUUUGGUUGUUUAUCACCUGCCACUUCGGUCGUUGGUGUAUACAACACAGGCCAGGAUUGCUCAAAAGCGCCGCUUCGGCGAUGGAAGUCCACUAACGACUGUUCCAAAACUGAAGGGCAACGGUAACCCAGGGGUAGGGCUAUGCCUACCUGGGGUUGAAUGAUGGUACGAUGAAGUAAUUCUUCCUCUAUUUUUAUAGCGUCAGUUAAUACUGACUGAGUACCGUCUUUUUCCGAAAAUAAGACACUGUCUUACUUUCUUUUUUGGUCCAAAAUACGCGAU
RNAcentral lists this long non-coding RNA (544 nucleotides) under Androctonus crassicauda. The record is from RNAcentral. Lineage: Eukaryota; Metazoa; Arthropoda; Arachnida; Scorpiones; Buthidae.